AGCUUUGCACAGUGCAGUAUGGUAGCCAAUGAGGUUUAUGCGAGGCGUGAUUAUUGCUAAUAGAAAACUUUUCCUCCUACACUGCCGUGACAACUUGCAAUAUAGUCAGCACUGGCAAUUUUUGAUGUCUCUAUGAAGAC
Small nuclear RNA from Nycticebus coucang (slow loris), 140 nucleotides. RefSeq annotates it as U4 spliceosomal RNA. The record is from RefSeq and is a predicted model, not a curated record. The transcript has a single exon. Lineage: Eukaryota; Metazoa; Chordata; Mammalia; Primates; Lorisidae.